AUUGAACGCUGGCGGCAGGCCUAACACAUGCAAGUCGAGCGGAUGAAGGGAGCUUGCUCCUGGAUUCAGCGGCGGACGGGUGAGUAAUGCCCAGGAAUCUGCCUGGUAGUGGGGGAUAACGUCCGGAAACGGGCGCUAAUACCGCAUACGUCCUGAGGGAGAAAGUGGGGGAUCUUCGGACCUCACGCUAUCAGAUGAGCCUAGGUCGGAUUAGCUAGUUGGUGGGGUAAAGGCCCACCAAGGCGACGAUCCGUAACUGGUCUGAGAGGAUGAUCAGUCACACUGGAACUGAGACACGGUCCAGACUCCUACGGGAGGCAGCAGUGGGGAAUAUUGGACAAUGGGCGAAAGCCUGAUCCAGCCAUGCCGCGUGUGUGAAGAAGGUCUUCGGAUUGUAAAGCACUUUAAGUUGGGAGGAAGGGCAGUAAGUUAAUACCUUGCUGUUUUGACGUUACCAACAGAAUAAGCACCGGCUAACUUCGUG
This 484-nucleotide ribosomal RNA is filed under the name uncultured bacterium. RNAcentral describes it as "partial 16S ribosomal RNA". It matches the Rfam family "Bacterial small subunit ribosomal RNA", at positions 30 to 507 of the family's 1533-position model. The record is from RNAcentral.